Molecule: long non-coding RNA, 1267 nt
Filed under: Lathyrus oleraceus (garden pea)
Lineage: Eukaryota; Viridiplantae; Streptophyta; Magnoliopsida; Fabales; Fabaceae
Description: Pisum sativum (pea) long non-coding RNA (PSAT_LNC037140)
Source: RNAcentral
AAGGCCCACGAUAGAACAACAUCCAAGAGGAAAGGAUAGGAACGAAUAAGUUAUAAUGUUGAGCAUGCACUGAUUCCCUAGCCUCUAAGCUACACACCGGUAACAAAUUUGAAGCGAAAUGAGGAAAAGAUUUGAGUAACCUAUCGAAGAAGAUGAAGCUGAAGACGGAGACAACAACGAAAUUCAGGUAUGGUUUGGUUCUUUAUCUCUUCCUUCCUUCUGCGUUUCUUCUCUCUUCUUCUUUCUUCUUCGCAUUUCUUGUUGUUGUGUGUGAGACGAGAGGGGUUUAGCUCUUGUUAUUCCAUAGCUUCAAGGUGAGGCUCUGAGCAACAAUGGUGAAAACGAGCUCUAAAGUGAGGUUGAGAGAGAUAGAAACGAGAGCUAUGAGAGUGUGAUUAUGUGAUCUUAUGAUUGAAUGAUGAUGAAGUGAAUUUAUCGACUGAGUUAGCUAAACAAAUAGUUAGUUAGGGUUGGUUAUAAAUGAAUCUGAAAUAAAUUUGGUUGGAAUUUGAGGUUAAUAAGUUUAUGAGUUUGCAGUUAAUUUCAUUUGAAUUUAAGGUAAAUUUCAGUUGAGUUAUUGGCCUGAAUCAAUUUCCUGGAAAAUUCAAUUUCAACUUAAUGUUUUUGUUAAUGCUUAAACCAAAUGUUAGGAGAAGUUAGUUUAGAUUGAUUGUUAGCAUUAUUUUAUUAUUUUUAGUUAGGUUUACAUGUUAAUAUGAAAAAUCAGUGGAGCAAUGCACUGAGUUAAACCGAAUCCCUCAGGAAUUCAACUUUGUAAUCUUCAUGAUUUUGUUAAUGCAGGUGUAUGUACAUUGACUUGAAUUGUUUGUGGAUAUGCAGGGUUUACAUUCUUGGUUUGCAGACUUAUUCAUGGUCUCAUGUUGUAGCUUGUGGCCAUUGUGCAUUGAUAUGGUCUUGACUUGAUUAUUUUGCAGAUUUGCUGCAGAAUUAAGGCAUUGCCCGAGUUUGGACAAGGAUGCAAAUCAAGGCUUUGUCCAUUUCUCAAUCCAAGGCAUCAAGUGAUGUGAUUAGGAUAGGGCAAACCAUGCUAGUGUAAUGUGUGAUGUAAAGCUUGUAAUUGAACCUUGUUUAGAUCAUGCAAAAAUGUAAUACAUCAAGAAACAUGUAAUUGACUUCAACAUGGUGAAUCCUAAUUUAAUCAAAUGCAAUUGUUUUAUUAUGCAUGAAGUAUGAAUAUGAAAUGUGUAUGCUAAUGAUAUCAUGGUUUAUGCCUAAAAAAUGGAAUUUUUGAUUUGUUGACUUUGGU